This 253-nucleotide ribosomal RNA is filed under the name uncultured bacterium. RNAcentral describes it as "partial 16S ribosomal RNA". It matches the Rfam family "Bacterial small subunit ribosomal RNA", at positions 524 to 776 of the family's 1533-position model. The record is from RNAcentral.
UACGAAGGGGGCUAGCGUUGCUCGGAAUCACUGGGCGUAAAGGGCGCGUAGGCGGCUGGACAAGUCAAAGGUGAAAUCCCUCGGCUCAACUGAGGAACUGCCUUUGAAACUGUCUGGCUUGAGGCCGGGAGGGGGUAGCGGAAUUCCCAGUGUAGCGGUGAAAUGCGUAGAUACUGGGAGGAACACCAGUGGCGAAGGCGGCUACCUGGACCGGUUCUGACGCUGAGGCGCGAAAGCGUGGGUAGCAAACAGG